Molecule: long non-coding RNA, 544 nt
Organism: Cyprinodon tularosa
Lineage: Eukaryota; Metazoa; Chordata; Actinopteri; Cyprinodontiformes; Cyprinodontidae
Exons: 3
Source: RefSeq, a predicted model, not a curated record
GACUUCUGAGUUUUGGCCGCCCCUGUUGUGGAUAUCUGGUACCGGCUCAGUAACAAGCAACGGAGUUCCACUCCUCUGGACUACACUCCUUCUUCUAGGCUGAGACUUAACUUUUCCAGAGAAUCGCCUCAGCUGGCGAGCAGCCGCUUGUUGAUUCAAUAAACGCCUUUUAAGGUACAGAGAUGGAUGUAGGCCAACCACUGCAGCCUGGUGAGGCUCCCCUGUGUGCAGCUCAGAACACCUGCCCCGCUGCGCAUUGGCACCCCUAGUCUUUACCAGGCCAAGGAGGAGCAUCUUCUCUCCACCAUGCUUUCACAAGGCCACCGCCCCCUGGGACCAAAUGGGGGAAAAUGAGACGAGGGGGGGCCCUGUUUUUCGCGGGGAGAUCUGCCACCCAAAACAACAUUCCUUAACCAGAAAUCAAAUUACAAGCUGCUGACACGGAGGAAAACUGCCUAUUAAUAUUUUAGUAUGGUUACUGAGUGCAUGACACCCCCGGUAGGGAGCACUCACAUCCAAGACAAAAAGCAUAGUGAUGCACCAA